UAGGAGCACCUUCGUGGUGUGACUGCGUACCUUUUGUAUAAUGGGUCAGCGACUUAUAUUCAGUAGCAAGGUUAACCAUCUAGGGGAGCCGUAGAGAAAUCGAGUCUUAACUGGGCGUCGAGUUGCUGGAUAUAGACCCGAAACCAGGUGAUCUAGCCAUGGGCAGGUUGAAGGUGAGGUAACACUUACUGGAGGACCGAACCGACUAAUGUUGAAAAAUUAGCGGAUGACUUGUGGCUAGGGGUGAAAGGCCAAUCAAACCUGGAGAUAGCUGGUUCUCCCCGAAAGCUAUUUAGGUAGCGCCUCGGACGAAUACUACUGGGGGUAGAGCACUGUUAAGGCUAGGGGGUCAUCCCGACUUACCAACCCUUUGCAAACUCCGAAUACCAGUAAGUACUAUCCGGGAGACACACGGCGGGUGCUAACGUCCGUCGUGGAGAGGGAAACAACCCA
Molecule: ribosomal RNA, 453 nt
Filed under: Marinifilum breve
Lineage: Bacteria; Pseudomonadati; Bacteroidota; Bacteroidia; Marinilabiliales; Marinifilaceae
Description: bacterial LSU rRNA
Rfam family: Bacterial large subunit ribosomal RNA
Source: RNAcentral